GGCCCGUUGGUCAAGCGGUUAAGACACCGCCCUUUCACGGCGGUAACACGGGUUCGAAUCCCGUACGGGACGCCA
RNAcentral lists this transfer RNA (75 nucleotides) under Pseudomonas sp. GW456-E7. RNAcentral's name for it is "tRNA-Glu". It matches the Rfam family "tRNA". From Rfam's summary of the family: Transfer RNA (tRNA) molecules are approximately 80 nucleotides in length. Their secondary structure includes four short double-helical elements and three loops (D, anti-codon, and T loops). Lineage: Bacteria; Pseudomonadati; Pseudomonadota; Gammaproteobacteria; Pseudomonadales; Pseudomonadaceae. The record is from RNAcentral.